AGCCGGGGAUUUAGCGGUUCCCUGUACCUGCAAUCCGCUACAGCAGGGGUGAUGUUCUGCCCCGGACUUUAUGGACAGUAUGCAGCCCUUUGCAAGCAGCAUAGACGCUUGGGUCUUGCGCAACAGGAAUCUGUGAAUCGAGUCAGGUCAGGAAUGGAGCAGCUCUAAGCAGAACCUCUUGUGUGCCGCGAGGUCGCCUGAGCCGAGCCGGCUACAGAGGUA
RNAcentral lists this signal recognition particle RNA (222 nucleotides) under uncultured Anaerosacchariphilus sp. RNAcentral describes it as "Bacterial large signal recognition particle RNA". It matches the Rfam family "Bacterial large signal recognition particle RNA", at positions 8 to 226 of the family's 256-position model. From Rfam's summary of the family: The signal recognition particle (SRP) is a universally conserved ribonucleoprotein involved in the co-translational targeting of proteins to membranes. The record is from RNAcentral. Lineage: Bacteria; Bacillati; Bacillota; Clostridia; Lachnospirales; Lachnospiraceae.